Molecule: ribosomal RNA, 238 nt
Filed under: uncultured Staphylococcus sp.
Lineage: Bacteria; Bacillati; Bacillota; Bacilli; Caryophanales; Staphylococcaceae
Description: partial 16S ribosomal RNA
Rfam family: Bacterial small subunit ribosomal RNA
Source: RNAcentral
ACGGGUGAGUAACACGUGGAUAACCUACCUAUAAGACUGGGAUAACUUCGGGAAACCGGAGCUAAUACCGGAUAAUAUUUUGAACCGCAUGGUUCAAAAGUGAAAGACGGUCUUGCUGUCACUUAUAGAUGGAUCCGCGCUGCAUUAGCUAGUUGGUAAGGUAACGGCUUACCAAGGCAACGAUGCAUAGCCGACCUGAGGGGGUGAUCGGCCACACUGGAACUGAGACACGGUCCAG